This 226-nucleotide long non-coding RNA is filed under the name Elaeis guineensis (African oil palm). Its description in RNAcentral is "long non-coding RNA (EGUI_LNC051209)". The record is from RNAcentral. Lineage: Eukaryota; Viridiplantae; Streptophyta; Magnoliopsida; Arecales; Arecaceae.
GAUUCUGUGCGAUUCCACUACUCCCUAACGAGUCACGACAGCGGACGCCGCUCCACUCCCCGUAACUGAUUCCACGUGGCGGACCACGGCGAUAGCUACGAUCCCGCUCCACUACCCUCCGCAAUAAAUUCCUUCUAGUUCUGGGUGGCCCACGACCAGACGAUUUCAGGCGUCACUAUCAAUUUGUUGUCCCCUCCAUCUAUAAAAGGGGAACCCCAGAUAUGUU